Molecule: ribosomal RNA, 254 nt
Filed under: uncultured bacterium
Lineage: Bacteria
Description: partial 16S ribosomal RNA
Rfam family: Bacterial small subunit ribosomal RNA
Source: RNAcentral
UACGUAGGGGGCAAGCGUUGUCCGGAAUCAUUGGCGUAAAGCGCGUGUAGGCGGCCAGAAAAGUCCGCUGUGAAAACUCGAGGCUCAACUUCGAGCUGUCGGUGGAAACUUUCUGGCUAGAGUCCGGAAGAGGAGAAUGGAAUUCCUGGUGUAGCGGUGAAAUGCGCAGAGUAUCAGGAGGAACACCGAUGGCGAAGGCAGGUCUCUGGGCCACUACUGACGCUGAGAAGCGGAAGGCAUGGGGGAGCGAACAG